UUUGGUUAAGUUAGAAAGGGCGCACGGUGGAUGCCUUGACACUAGGAGUCGAUGAAGGACGGGACUAACGCCGAUAUGCUUCGGGGAGCUGUAAGUAAGCUUUGAUCCGAAGAUUUCCGAAUGGGGAAACCCACCAUACGUAAUGGUAUGGUAUCCUUAUCUGAAUACAUAGGGUAAGGAAGACAGACCCAGGGAACUGAAACAUCUAAGUACCUGGAGGAAGAGAAAGCAAAUGCGAUUUCCUGAGUAGCGGCGAGCGAAACGGAACAUAGCCCAAACCAAGAGGCUUGCCUCUUGGGGUUGUAGGACAUUCUAUACGGAGUUACAAAGGAACGAGGUAGACGAAGCGACCUGGAAAGGUCCGUCGUAGAGGGUAACAACCCCGUAGUCGAAACUUCGUUCUCUCUUGAAUGUAUCCUGAGUACGGCGGAACACGUGAAAUUCCGUCGGAAUCUGGGAGGACCAUCUCCCAAGGCUAAAUACUCCCUAGUGAUCGAUAGUGAACCAGUACCGUGAGGGGAAAGGUGAAAAGCACCCCGGAAGGGGAGUGAAAGAGAUCCUGAAACCGUGUGCCUACAAAUAGUCAGAGCCCGUUAAUGGGUGAUGGCGUGCCUUUGUAGAAUGAACCGGCGAGUUACGAUCCCGUGCGAGGUUAAGCUGAAGAGGCGGAGCCGCAGCGAAAGCGAGUCUGAAUAGGGCGUUUAGUACGUGGUCGUAGACCCGAAACCAGGUGAUCUACCCAUGUCCAGGGUGAAGUUCAGGUAACACUGAAUGGAGGCCCGAACCCACGCACGUUGAAAAGUGCGGGGAUGAGGUGUGGGUAGCGGAGAAAUUCCAAUCGAACCUGGAGAUAGCUGGUUCUCCCCCGAAAUAGCUUUAGGGCUAGCCUUAAGUGUAAGAGUCUUGGAGGUAGAGCACUGAUUGGACUAGGGGUCCCUCAUCGGAUUACCGAAUUCAGUCAAACUCCGAAUGCCAAUGACUUAUCCUUAGGAGUCAGACUGCGAGUGAUAAGAUCCGUAGUCAAAAGGGGAAACAGCCCAGACCGCCAGCUAAGGUCCCAAAGUGUGUAUUAAGUGGAAAAGGAUGUGGAGUUGCUUAGACAACUAGGAUGUUGGCUUAGAAGCAGCCACCAUUUAAAGAGUGCGUAAUAGCUCACUAGUCGAGUGACUCUGCGCCGAAAAUGUACCGGGGCUAAAUACACCACCGAAGCUGCGGAUUGAUACCAAUGGUAUCAGUGGUAGGGGAGCGUUCUAAGGACAGUGAAGUCAGACCGGAAGGACUGGUGGAGUGCUUAGAAGUGAGAAUGCCGGUAUGAGUAGCGAAAGACGGGUGAGAAUCCCGUCCACCGAAUGCCUAAGGUUUCCUGAGGAAGGCUCGUCCGCUCAGGGUUAGUCAGGACCUAAGCCGAGGCCGACAGGCGUAGGCGAUGGACAACAGGUUGAUAUUCCUGUACCACCUCUUUAUCGUUUGAGCAAUGGAGGGACGCAGAAGGAUAGAAGAAGCGUGCGAUUGGUUGUGCACGUCCAAGCAGUUAGGCUGAUAAGUAGGCAAAUCCGCUUAUCGUGAAGGCUGAGCUGUGAUGGGGAAGCUCCUUAUGGAGCGAAGUCUUUGAUUCCCCGCUGCCAAGAAAAGCUUCUAGCGAGAUAAAAGGUGCCUGUACCGCAAACCGACACAGGUAGGCGAGGAGAGAAUCCUAAGGUGUGCGAGAGAACUCUGGUUAAGGAACUCGGCAAAAUGACCCCGUAACUUCGGGAGAAGGGGUGCUUUCUUAACGGAAAGCCGCAGUGAAUAGGCCCAAGCGACUGUUUAGCAAAAACACAGCUCUCUGCGAAGCCGUAAGGCGAAGUAUAGGGGGUGACACCUGCCCGGUGCUGGAAGGUUAAGGAGAGGGGUUAGCGUAAGCGAAGCUCUGAACUGAAGCCCCAGUAAACGGCGGCCGUAACUAUAACGGUCCUAAGGUAGCGAAAUUCCCUUGUCGGGUAAGUUCCGACCCGCACGAAAGGUGUAACGAUUUGGGCACUGUCUCAACCAGAGACUCGGUGAAAUUAUAGUACCUGUGAAGAUGCAGGUUACCCGCGACAGGACGGAAAGACCCCGUGGAGCUUUACUGUAGCCUGAUAUUGAAUUUUGGUACAGUUUGUACAGGAUAGGCGGGAGCCAUUGAAACCGGAGCGCUAGCUUCGGUGGAGGCGCUGGUGGGAUACCGCCCUGACUGUAUUGAAAUUCUAACCUACGGGUCUUAUCGACCCGGGAGACAGUGUCAGGUGGGCAGUUUGACUGGGGCGGUCGCCUCCUAAAGUGUAACGGAGGCGCCCAAAGGUUCCCCUCAGAAUGGUUGGAAAUCAUUCGUAGAGUGCAAAGGCAUAAGGGAGCUUGACUGCGAGACCUACAAGUCGAGCAGGGACGAAAGUCGGGCUUAGUGAUCCGGUGGUUCCGCAUGGAAGGGCCAUCGCUCAACGGAUAAAAGCUACCCCGGGGAUAACAGGCUUAUCUCCCCCAAGAGUCCACAUCGACGGGGAGGUUUGGCACCUCGAUGUCGGCUCAUCGCAUCCUGGGGCUGUAGUCGGUCCCAAGGGUUGGGCUGUUCGCCCAUUAAAGCGGUACGCGAGCUGGGUUCAGAACGUCGUGAGACAGUUCGGUCCCUAUCCGUCGUGGGCGUAGGAAAUUUGAGAGGAGCUGUCCUUAGUACGAGAGGACCGGGAUGGACGCACCGCUGGUGUACCAGUUGUUCUGCCAAGGGCAUAGCUGGGUAGCUAUGUGCGGAAGGGAUAAGUGCUGAAAGCAUCUAAGCAUGAAGCCCCCCUCAAGAUGAGAUUUCCCAUAGCGUAAGCUAGUAAGAUCCCCUGAAAGAUGAUCAGGUUGAUAGGUUCGAGGUGGAAGCAUGGUGACAUGUGGAGCUGACGAAUACUAAUAGAUCGAGGACUUAACCAUAUAA
Molecule: ribosomal RNA, 2935 nt
Filed under: Bacillus thuringiensis
Lineage: Bacteria; Bacillati; Bacillota; Bacilli; Caryophanales; Bacillaceae
Description: 23S ribosomal RNA
Rfam family: Bacterial large subunit ribosomal RNA
Source: RNAcentral